AUAUUUUCAUUUCAAAGAUAAUUUCAGUGCUAUUUAACAUAAAAACCUUCGCAAAGGAGUUCAAAUCAAAACAAAAGUGCGGAAGGAAAAGCCCGACAUCGGGGUGUCACUAGUCAUAAGUAUCUACUACAAUCUAUUUAACAAUAUCAAGGCUAACUCAGCCUGGAAAAUAGCUAAAUACAACUAGAGGAAUAUAAGAGGAAGAAGAGCAGGGGCUGCAGUCGCCAAGCAGCUACCUUGCUAUCCCCGAGAAAAUCUGUAACCAAAAUAAUCAACAACCGCUAUCGUGUCCAGCUAUACCUGGAUCUGCACAAAAAGUGCACGGAGUAACGUAAGUAUGCCAACUCAGUAAGUAACAACAAUAAAUAAAGACUGAGCAGUAGUGACGAGCAAUAAUGCAAACCCAGUUCCAGUAAAAAUCAUUUAAAUAUAUUUGAAUCAAAAUAUCUCGUUUAAACCCAGUUCCAGUAAAAAUCAUUUAAAUAUAUUUUUCAAUAGUUUUCAAACAGAGGAAAAAUGCAAAGGUGAGCAAAAAUGAUGAAAUCAUAAACAGCUCCUCGAGCAAAACAUCACUCAUAUACAGCCCCUCGGGAAAACCUCACAUUCACUCGUACCACUCGGGCAUACCUCACAAUCACCCAUGCCUCCCAGUCACUCGGCACUCGCACUCAGUAGGUACUUGCGCUCAUUGGGGGUGUGUACAGACUCCGGAGGGGCUCCUUCAGCCCAAGCGCUAUAAUCUGCACGGACAACUCACGUGCUAUAAUAAUAAAGUAUGCUGCAGGCGGGCAGCCUCGAUCCACACUCAUCCUCACAAUCAGGCCCUCGGCCGAUAUCAAACAUGUUGCGGCGUGCAGCCCGAUCCCAUAAAUAUCCUCAUAAAUCAGGCCCUCAACCUCACUCAGUCAUAAACCUCUCAAGCUACUCGGGCAUUUCAGUAAAACAGGGUGCUCAACCCAAAACAACAUUUAUAUGCAUCAAAAUAGAGUCAUAAAACUGAGUUAUGCAGUAAACAAGUGUAACCAUGUCUGAGUAUAGAUUUUCAAUCGAAAACAAUGAGAGGAUAGUAAGAAAAGGCCCUUAAGGGUCUAAACAACACUGGCACAAGGCCGCCCAAACAUGGCAUUCAGUCCAAUUUACAGAAACUCUUUCUAAAACAUAUAAGUAUCAUAUAGUUUUAACAAAGUAUGCAACUUUACAGUUGCUACGGGACGGACCAAGUCACGAUCCCCAACAGUGCAUGCCCACACGCCUGUCACCUAGCAUGUGCGUUACUAAAAAUAAUAGAAUGAUACAAAAUCCGGGGUUUCGUACCCUCAAGACUAGAUUUACAAUCGUUACUUACCUCAAACCGGUCAAAUCUCUACCUCGCAAUGCUCUUGCCUCUGUACUCGGCCUCCAAAUGCUCCAAAUCUAUUCACAAUCAGUACAAUACCAUCAAUAUACGCUAAUGGAAUGAAUUCCAAUGGAAAAGAUAAAAAAUUAGACCAAAACCCGAAAUUGGCUCAAACCCGGCCCCUGGGCCCAUGUCUCGAAAUCCGACAAAAUUUACAAAACAAGAUAUCUCAUUCACUCACGAGUAUAACCAUACCAAAUUCAUCAAAAUCCGACAUCGUUUGGUCCUUCAAAUUCUUAAAUUACUUCUCCAAAAAUCCCAAGUCCUAACCCCUUAUUUUCACUAAUUAUAAUGACUAAACAACAGAAAAUUACCAUAUAUACAAGUAUUAGGGCUCAAGCAACUUACCUCACUGAUAGAUCUUGAAUCACCCUUCAAAAAUCACUCCAAAAGCUCCACAAACCGACUUGAAAAUGGUGGAAAUGAACCAAGUUCGCGAAGCAUUCUAUUUAUGGUUUCUGCCUAGGUUUUCGCACCUGCGGCUCUUUUUCUGUGCCUGCGGGACCGCACCUACGGUCUAGGUGCCGCAUCCGCGAACUCCACUUAAUUCCCCAGCUUCCGCACCUGCGCUCCAGGCCUCGCACAUGCGGGCUCAUAGGUGCGUCCAAAUCCUUCGCGCCUGCGCUCCAGCCUUGGCCUCACAUUUUUUUUCCGCAUCUGCACAGCAAAUUCUCGCGCCUGCGAAAGCGCACCUGCGCGUUUCCUCCGCUUCUGUGAAGCCUGCCUAGCAUCUCCCUUUCUGCAUCUGUGCCCCAGGUUUCGCACCUGCGGGCUCGCAGAUGCGACCUCCAACUCGCACCUGCGCAACCUGCCUAGCCUAGCAUUGCCCGCACCUACGAACUCCCCACGCGCACCAGCGGCCUCGCACCUGC
This 2268-nucleotide long non-coding RNA is filed under the name Nicotiana tabacum (common tobacco). RNAcentral's name for it is "long non-coding RNA (NTAB_LNC013947)". Lineage: Eukaryota; Viridiplantae; Streptophyta; Magnoliopsida; Solanales; Solanaceae. The record is from RNAcentral.